Molecule: non-coding RNA, 1553 nt
Organism: Cyanistes caeruleus (blue tit)
Lineage: Eukaryota; Metazoa; Chordata; Aves; Passeriformes; Paridae
Source: RefSeq, a predicted model, not a curated record
CUUACUUUAAUGUGAACUAAUUUUUAAUCAUGGUAAAGUACUUGAAAAUUAACAUAUCCUUAAACUCUCUUCUCGGUGUCACCAUCUCCAUCAAACCAAGUGUGUUUAUUCUGCUCCUCCUCUGUGCUGGGUUUGAGAGUCUGAACAAAGGCAGCAUGUGGAGCAAGGAGUUAGCAGUGAUAACAGCCAAUAAAGAAGAGAUGAAAUGUCCUCAGGACUGCAGCUUGUCUGGACAUUUAACCAACUGCUGGGUUUGCUACUUUCAGGGAGGGCAGCACUGUUGAUAUUUAACAUGACAGUCCAUAUUGGGUCUCAUGACUUAAUACAGGUUCUUAAAGACUGACAUGGUCUUUGCUACACAGAUGAUGAAGUCAAGGAUCACUUAGACAGUGAGAGGACUCAAGUUCAGUGUCUAAUUCCAAGGCAUUGCUAGUUAAGAUGUUGAGACCUGGGUUAGAGGAGUGGACAAAAGUAUUUGCAACCACCAGGCAUUCAGCAUUCCUUCUGAACACCAAUUUGGAAUGUGCCACUUCCCCCUCAUAGGAGAACAAUAUUCUUUGGGACCAGCAACCCCAAAUUCUUCAGUUUUGAGUGACAUUAUUAAAUAAAAAAACCCACUAGAAAUGGCAGAAUGUUGGGAGAACUGACACUGCUCCAUACAAAGCAGACCAUGAAGAAUCAAGCACUGAACAGCAACAAUCUGAACAACAAAGCUGACCUAAACACUUGGUGGGUUUGUUCUUCAGAAUAAUAUUAAAAAAGCCCUGAACAACCAGGAGCAGAACAACAUGUUCAGUCAGAGUCUCAAGAAUGUACUUUCUAAUGGGGAACAGGACUUCUCUGAUGUACCGGAGGAGAAGGAAUAUAAAUGUAUAGAAGCAGAAAACCUGACCAUUUUCCUCUAAUGUCUGAAAAUCCAGAGCAAGCUCAUGCGAACUCUGACUCUGAGGACAUGCGUGUUGAGGAGGAGCACAAUUACAGCCACAUAACAAACAAGACAGAACAAUGUAGGGAACCAGAACAACUGAACAUUCUGCCAGUGGAAUUAAUCCAGGACUCAGAGCAGCAAGGACAAAAGCUGGAGAGUUGGAGGCAACAUUCUGCAAAGAGAAGCUGCAUGACCAUUGUGUACACACAGAGAAGCUCAGCAACAUAUGUGACCUGAAUACCUGAAUGUAACCAGCAGCCAUUCCCCAGACAGAGCUUUCCAAAAAGAACAAAAACCACAACAAGAUCACAUGAACUUUGAACUUCUCAAAAAAGAAGGGUUUUGUGGAAGUGCCAAAUGCAGAGAAGCGUCAGCCAGUGGAAUCACAGAAUCACCCUCUGUGAGUCCUGAGUGGUUAAAAAACAGAAAGAAGGUCCCAUCUGUGAAAAAGCAGAUGACUAACAGGAGAGUCAUGUGCAGCUUUGGAAGAAGAAAAAAAAAUAGGAUGAAGAAGAGAAGCUGAUACUGCUGAAUGUUGAAAUGGAGACCUGAGGCUGGAUGUGGCACCUCAGCAAUCAGAGGUGCUGAUUACAUUUUGCCAUUCACAAAUACAUAGACAAGAUGA